This 301-nucleotide ribosomal RNA is filed under the name uncultured bacterium. Its description in RNAcentral is "partial 16S ribosomal RNA". It matches the Rfam family "Bacterial small subunit ribosomal RNA", at positions 509 to 809 of the family's 1533-position model. The record is from RNAcentral.
CAGUAGCCGCGGUAAUACGUAGGUGGCAAGCGUUGUCCGGAAUUAUUGGGCGUAAAGCGCGCGCAGGCGGAUCAGUCAGUCUGUCUUAAAAGUUCGGGGCUUAACCCCGUGAGGGGAUGGAAACUGCUGAUCUAGAGUAUCGGAGAGGAAAGUGGAAUUCCUAGUGUAGCGGUGAAAUGCGUAGAUAUUAGGAAGAACACCAGUGGCGAAGGCGACUUUCUGGACGAAAACUGACGCUGAGGCGCGAAAGCCAGGGGAGCGAACGGGAUUAGAUACCCCCGUAGUCCCUGUCUCUUAUACA